UAUUCUUAGUGAGCAUUGCUCACAGUACCUCUUGUUUUAACAGGUUUUUUUUUUUUUUACAAUAACUAUCGGAAAAGACUAACAAAAUUUAUGUUCCUAUCAUGCAUAAAUCUAAAUAAAUCAUUGAUUUUGCAAAAUCUGAUGACAUUAUAGGAGGGUGGAAUUACUUUAAGUUAUGUUUAGUGCUGUGUGUAUAUAAACAUGCACUCAUAUAAUUAUAUCUUCCCUCUUCCAGGGGGAGACAUAUUGUAUUUGUACUUUCUGUCCGUCCUUCCUUCUGUCACAAAAUCUUGUGAACGCUUCUCCACCUAUAUGGCUUAUCAGAUAGACUUGAAACUUUGUACAAUGCUUCAUUGUCAUUUGCAGAUGUGAAUAUUGUUGGGACGGGAGGAUCCAAUUGUUUUCCUAAGAGUUAUAGUGGAUCUAAGAGGGGUGGAAGAUGUAAAAUAGCUUAUGAACUCUUCUCCUCCCAUAUGGCUUAUUGGAUAGACUUGAAACUUUGUACAAUGCUUAAUUGUCAUUUGUAGAUGUGCAUAUUGUCGGAAUGAGAGGAUCCAAAGUUUUUCCUAAAAGAUAUAGUGGAUCUAAAAGGGGUGGAGGAUGUUAAAAUACCUUGUGAACACUUCUCCUAUAUGGCUUAUCUGAUAGACUUGAGAAUUUGUACAAUGCUUCAAUGCCAUUUGUAGAUGUGCAAGUUGUAGGGACAGGAGGAUCCAAUUGCUAUCCUUAAAGUUAAAGUGGAUCUGAGGGGUGUAGGGUAUAAAAUAGUUUGUGAACGCUUCUCCUCCUAUAUGGCUUAUCAGAGUUCAUGUCUAUCUUCCUGCCCAUGCUUUCUCCUCCAUACUAUUCAAUACAUUAAGGGGGAUGUUUCCUAUAUUUUACGAAUUAAUUGGUUGAUUGACAACAAACUUGGUACACUUGUACAGCAUAUAUAAGGAGUAGAUGACCCCUAUUGAUUCUUAGGUCACAUGGUCAGUCCACUCUUGACAUAGGAAGAUAUUGUCUGCUCAAUAUUUUGAAUUGGUGAUACUACUAUCAAUUAAAUGAGGCACGGGUAUAACCCUUUCAAUUUUGCAACUUGGGGGGCAUAUGUGUUUUAGAAACAUCUCUUGUGUUGUAUUAUAUGAAUUACAGGUUUUAGUGUGCUCAGUUUAGAGAAUAGCAUAAAAGUAUUUGAUAAUUAAAUAUCUUGCAGAUUGGCAGUUUACUCCAUGCACCGACAGGAAUGAUAAACUGUGAUAUUCGUAAAUGGAACUGGGACACGUUCUAAAUAUACUCAGGGACAGAAUGAUGUGCAGCAAGGCUCGUCAUGGAAUGGCAGCUCACUACCUGCCCCUAGUGAUGUUAAAAGAGGCCAUUGUUCUCAUUUGUUCCAAAACAGGAAUGGCAUAUGAGGAGGCCAACAGAAGAUGCACCUCCACUGAGUGUGCACUCACAAAACGAAUAAAUUAUUAUUAUUUCUUU
Molecule: long non-coding RNA, 1464 nt
Organism: Ostrea edulis (European flat oyster)
Lineage: Eukaryota; Metazoa; Mollusca; Bivalvia; Ostreida; Ostreidae
Exons: 3
Source: RefSeq, a predicted model, not a curated record